AUAAAAAACCAAUGCCCUUCGGGGCUCCUUGGUGAUUCAUAAUAACUUAACGAAUCGCAUGGCCUUGUGCCGGCGAUGGUUCAUUCAAAUUUCUGCCCUAUCAACUUUCGAUGGUAGGAUAGUGGCCUACCAUGGUUUCAACGGGUAACGGGGAAUUAGGGUUCUAUUCCGGAGAGGGAGCCUGAGAAACGGCUACCACAUCCAAGGAAGGCAGCAGGCGCGCAAAUUACCCAAUCCCGACACGGGGAGGUAGUGACAAUAAAUACUGAUACAGGGCUCUUUUGGGUCUUGUAAUUGGAAUGAGUACAAUUUAAAUCCCUUAACGAGGAACAAUUGGAGGGCAAGUCUGGUGCCAGCAGCCGCGGUAAUUCCAGCUCCAAUAGCGUAUAUUAAAGUUGUUGCAGUUAAAAAGCUCGUAGUUGAACCUUGGGCCUGGUUGGCCGGUCCGCCUCACCGCGUGCACUGGUCCGACCGGGUCUUUCCUUCUGGGGAGCCGCAUGCCCUUCACUGGGUGUGUC
RNAcentral lists this ribosomal RNA (518 nucleotides) under uncultured fungus. Its description in RNAcentral is "SSU rRNA". It matches the Rfam family "Eukaryotic small subunit ribosomal RNA", at positions 214 to 732 of the family's 1831-position model. The record is from RNAcentral. Lineage: Eukaryota; Fungi.